GAUGAACGCUGGCGGCGUGCCUAAUACAUGCAAGUCGAGCGAACAGACGAGGAGCUUGCUCCUCUGACGUUAGCGGCGGACGGGUGAGUAACACGUGGAUAACCUACCUAUAAGACUGGGAUAACUUCGGGAAACCGGAGCUAAUACCGGAUAAUAUAUUGAACCGCAUGGUUCAAUAGUGAAAGACGGUUUUGCUGUCACUUAUUGAUGGAUCCUCGCCGCAUUAGCUAGUUGGUAAGGUAACGGCUUACCAAGGCGACGAUGCGUAGCCGACCUGAGAGGGUGAUCGGCCACACUGGAACUGAGACACGGUCCAGACUCCUACGGGAGGCAGCAGUAGGGAAUCUUCCGCAAUGGGCGAAAGCCUGACGGAGCAACGCCGCGUGAGUGAUGAAGGUCUUCGGAUCGUAAAACUCUGUUAGUAGGGAAGAACAAAUGUGUAAGUAACUAUGCACGUCUUGACGGUACCUAAUCAGAAAGCCACGGCUAACUACGUG
This 497-nucleotide ribosomal RNA is filed under the name uncultured bacterium. RNAcentral describes it as "partial 16S ribosomal RNA". It matches the Rfam family "Bacterial small subunit ribosomal RNA", at positions 28 to 507 of the family's 1533-position model. The record is from RNAcentral.